CUCAGAGUUAAAAAGGGACUUAACACUUUCAACUCGGAUAGAGUUAUUAAGGUAAAUGUUCUCCCAGGGGGCAUUAUUAAAGGUAAAAUCCAAGCGUCCAUGAAAAAGAAAAUAUACCAGGCUGAGGUGAGCGAGCUGAUAGGGUUAGUGUUAGCAAGGUAAUAUUAGGCAUUCUGGCUUUUAAUGUCACACGCCACGUUAUUUGGCGUUUCAUCAACCCUGGAUAAAGACUGCCAUUGCUUUAUUCUAUCAGUAGAUAAUUGUUUUCCAAUGUUUGACUUGAUAAAAUGGACGUGACGUUCUUGGAUCCAAGGCUAGCCUUUCAUGUGUUUAGCCCCAGAAUGGCUGUGCUCUUCACAUACUGUAAUGCUCUAAAAGGUUUUAUAAAUUCAAAAUACGUAUUUGGAAUUAAUUACAUGUAAGAUCACAGCCAUUUUAGGGCUACCAUAUGCCACUAUCUGUUUUAAACGUUCCACCUUCGAUACAGGUCAAGUGGGCAACAGGAAAUAUGGGCACCUUGAAGUAAUAUAGUGUAUUUUGUCAAAGUUCCUUUUUAAUGGUGGUUCUGUGGCUCAGAUGCUAUAUGAAUUUUGGGCCUUGAUAUGAAAAAUGUUGAAAACCACUGGUCUAUAUUAACAAAGUAUUAAUGUUAAAGCAUUGAACAUUUAUGAGUGAUUAUAACAAUACUGCAGUAUGAGCACCUAAUGUGUUUAUAAAACAUCAUAGGCAUAGGAUGCCUCGCUAUGUGAACUGUAUCUUGGUGUCUUUAUAACAGGAUGGCUUAUCGCAAGAAACGAAUCACAGCUAGCAACUUUGGUUAGGUCUUGGCGGCAGUCAAGCACAAGCGGUACCCACCUUCCUUGUUCAAAACCCUGCUUGGCCAGUACAACUUCAAAGAAGCUUCUAAAGUUAGUAAUGAUGUAAUAAUGAUUUCAACUUAAGAUGUCAUUGUCUCUAACAAGUAACUUAUGAACUGAGUGGUAUGUUUUCCCUCCCUCACUUUCUCAAGGCAUGUGAAAAUUGUCAUAUCGUAAUACCCACCUCUAGGUCGAAUGUCCCUGGUCAACCAAAAAUAUGACAGUUCGGUAGGCAGCAGCAG
Non-coding RNA from Xyrichtys novacula (pearly razorfish), 1099 nucleotides. NCBI's taxonomy places the organism in Eukaryota, Metazoa, Chordata, Actinopteri, Labriformes, Labridae. The record is from the annotation of a GenBank genome assembly.